GCCUGGCUGGCUCAGUUGGUAGAGCAUGCGAUUCUUGAUCUCAGCAUUAUAAGUUUGAGCCUCAUGUUGGGUG
This 73-nucleotide transfer RNA is filed under the name Ailuropoda melanoleuca (giant panda). It matches the Rfam family "tRNA". From Rfam's summary of the family: Transfer RNA (tRNA) molecules are approximately 80 nucleotides in length. Lineage: Eukaryota; Metazoa; Chordata; Mammalia; Carnivora; Ursidae. The record is from Rfam by way of RNAcentral.